Long non-coding RNA from Suricata suricatta (meerkat), 3334 nucleotides. Lineage: Eukaryota; Metazoa; Chordata; Mammalia; Carnivora; Herpestidae. The record is from Ensembl.
GACCGGAGGUUGCUCAAGGAUCCUUUUCCCAAGGAAGGAUGACAUCUAGGAAAAGGAAGUCUAGUCACUGGCUUGGGAACUUUGGAAGCAUUUUCAUAUCCUCUUCACUAGUCCGGAAAUGUGUAUAUUUUUCCAUACGACAUAGUCGCUGUUUCAAAAUAUUGAAAAAAAGACUUGGAAUAGAAUCCCCAUCCCCUUCCUUAUCCACAAUCCAGAAUCUGGAAGUCCUUCCUUUGGGAUCCAGAGAAUUCAUUUCUUCAAACUGUUAAUUCAGAAGUGGCCAAGAAUAGAAGACUGUACAAAACAGGAAAGUUGUGACUUGCUGCCGACUCUUUCAUCGUGCAUGAAGAAAUUAAAAAUGGUCAUCUUCCUUUCUCCUGUCACGUACCUUUCAAAAAGUUCUUUAAGGAGAAAUUCAGAGAUUUUUUUUUUUUAAUUAACAGGGUCAAAUGAAAACGUUGUAAUUAAAACCAAUUAAGGUAAAGCUGCCCACUGGUUAAUACAUAGAAGAUUAUUUUUAUUAUUAAGGCCAGUUAAUGGGAUAAACUGCUUUAAGGGAGUGCUUGGAGAAAAGGUUCUCUUUUAAAUUUAUAAUUAUAUAUCUAUCUGUUGAAUAAAAUCAGACAAAAUUUAACAAAACUAAACAAUAAAUUGCCUUGUUGCUUCCAUAGUCAAGUCUCGAGUUAAUCUCUUGAUUUUAACAUAUUUUCUAGACCUUUAUUUCAAAUUUACUCAGUAUAUAUUUGUGUGUGCAGAUUUGUAUGUGUACAUAAAUACAUGUGUGCAUGCAUCACAGGGACUUUUCAAACUGCGUUUCUAAAUUUCAGCUAAAAAUGUUGCCCAGCAAGGCAAACUGUUUAUGCUUUUCAUUCCAUUGCUUUAGUACCAUUACUUUUGCCAAAACAGCUUGAGUUGAUUCUGCUUCUGAAUUGUAUUCCUUUCUCAUUUUUCCUGUUUUUCCCCCAGGGUCAGUAUCUUGUGACCAUGUCUCAGAACUAUCUUAAGUCUGCUCUCAAACGCACAUUAUUUCAGUCCCCCAACUCUGUCAGCCCUCCGGCCUGCUGCUAAAAUUGUCUUCCUAGAGAAGAACUCUUAUCACAGUACCAUGCACAGAAAUCCUCAACCGACUCCCUACAGACUACAGAUAAAGUUCCAAAUUAUCCAAAAUCUGGCCUCAAACUACUUCCUGUCCUGACCUUACCCCUUCCCUUUGCCUUAAUCAAAUGCUACCCCUGUCUUGUGAGCAUGCUCUGAAGAAUCUGAGUCCGCUGUUGGUUGUCACCUUGUCUGAGUUACCUGCAAUUUUUUAUAUCCUAUCCAUUCUUUAAAGCCAAAUUUAAAAGUCCCUAUCUUACAUAUAUCCUUUUUAGACUCCUAACUGGACAUAAGCAAGGAACCUCUCUUGAUCUUUCAGUAGUACUCUAAUAAACACCGUGUGCCUUCCGGAUUGUGCUCACUAAUGUCUGUAUUGCAUUACAGCUGAUAGUCUGGUCUGGUCUUAGUGCUUUGACUAGUCUCUGUGCCCUUGAGGAAUGAUUGUGUCCUUGUCAGUUCUUGUAGAACCUAGUGUGUUACAGCGACAGGAUGUAUAUAGUUAUGCAUAUGUAUAUAGUUUGACUUUGACAAUAGUAUUUUUCCAUAUCUGUAAAAUGGAAAGUAAUCCUUGUACUUGUUCAGGUACUCUUUAAGGGAGUUAAGAUAAUUAAUGGGAAUUUCUCAGCAAUAGCAAGUGCUUAAUAAAUAUUACCUAUUAUGUACCAAGUAAGUGUUUACUGAACAAUAUCUUUAUCUGAGUAAAGAAUACCCAUCUUUGGGUUAUUUCACCAGUAUUUGAGGCUUCUUUAAAAAAGAAAAAAGUUGGCGUAUACUUGACUGGAGUCUAAGUGGGCUUACCAGAAGGAUUUCCUCUCAGAACACUACCCCUGAGAUACGCUCUUGGAGCCCUCGGGCUGAGGGUCACUCGUGGAGGAAGGGAAUGCUUUCUGAUUAAGAUCAGUUUGUCCUCAGCCAACAGAAGUGAUGCACCAUCCCCCCUAAAAAUGGAUCUUGUCAGGAAAUGCACUAGAGACCAUUAAGCCUCAGAAAAAGGAAAAGAAGGGUGACAGAAAUGUGGCAGUUGCUUAGGGAGAGAAAUUUAUUUCCACCAAGAACUUUGUGGAGAACUUGUAAGAACUUUGAAGAUGCCAUAGACUAAGAAAGUAGUAAACAAUGGCGGGGGGGGGGGGGAAUACGGAGAAUAAAAAGACGGUGAUCAUGGUUGAUGGAGCUGCAGCAAUCCACCAGCCAAGUGACAGGGAGGUCUGACCACUCAGUGGAAGUAGAAAAGGAGAAAGUUUAUGGAUAUGGAAAUAAAAGUGGGUAGGUUUCAUUCGAUACAUAUUUGUUCAGUCUCCAUUAUGUGUCAGCACUGAAGCAAUGGAUUAAGAUCAGGGAACUAUAAGAAAGUUGCCUAGGAGGAUGCCCAGAUCUCCAGCUUUAACGACUUGGGGAUACUGCUGCGUUGCUUAACUGAUACUAACAGGAGUGUAGGUUUGGGGACAGAUGAAGUUUCUUGGGGCAUGUUGUUUUUGAGGUACUUUUGGACAUCCAACAUGCCAGUGUGAAAACAACAAGUCAGGACUAGAUAUUGCAUCAUCAAUUCAGAAAUGUGACCAUGCUCUGUUCCUUAAACCAUGAUCGUUCAUGCAAGUAGCCUCAGAACAAAUAGAAUGAGAUUAGUUUGCCAAGGACACAUCCAGGGUAAAACUAAUGUCUAAGGUGGAAAUGGAAGUUAAGUAAGGUAGAUGGAAAAGACUCUCAAAGGGUUAUUCUGAACAAAAAGGAAAGGAAGGUGGCGUGAAUUUGGAAAUAAAGACUGAAGCUUUUUUUCUUGAUGUAACAGGAAAUUAAGCCAUCAGGGAGUGAUGUCACAGGAAAGCUGAAGAAGAUUGCAGGUCCAGGAAGAAUGGUAUGUGUUUAGAAAACUGACCUACGGUUGAGUGGGAAAACUAAUUACACAUGAGUUUGGAAAUAGUGAAUUUACAGUGAAGCCAACCAGAGGAAAUAACCAUUUCUUUAGCCAUGAGAAAGCAGGAUCUAACAGAUUGUUAGAUCCAUUCAGAACUAGAGGGAACUGUGAGGGAAAAGAAUUUUGAAAUUUUAAAAGACUAGAGGGGCACCUGGGUGACUCAGUCGGUUACGGGGCUGGCUUCAGUCUUCUGAGUUUUAAAGUAAUGUUUAUCUUGUCCAGUUAAUACUUGCAUACAGUUUGAAAACUAAACUAGUUUCAGGAGGCACCCAGCUGCCUCUGUCAGUGCAGUGGGCAACUCUUGAUCUCAGGGUUGUCAGUUCAAGC